Molecule: ribosomal RNA, 486 nt
Filed under: Kineococcus sp.
Lineage: Bacteria; Bacillati; Actinomycetota; Actinomycetes; Kineosporiales; Kineosporiaceae
Description: bacterial SSU rRNA
Rfam family: Bacterial small subunit ribosomal RNA
Source: RNAcentral
GAAUUCCUGGUGUAGCGGUGAAAUGCGCAGAUAUCAGGAGGAACACCGGUGGCGAAGGCGGGUCUCUGGGCAGUUACUGACGCUGAGGAGCGAAAGCAUGGGGAGCGAACAGGAUUAGAUACCCUGGUAGUCCAUGCCGUAAACGUUGGGCGCUAGGUGUGGGGUCCAUUCCACGGAUUCCGUGCCGCAGCUAACGCAUUAAGCGCCCCGCCUGGGGAGUACGGCCGCAAGGCUAAAACUCAAAGGAAUUGACGGGGGCCCGCACAAGCGGCGGAGCAUGCGGAUUAAUUCGAUGCAACGCGAAGAACCUUACCAAGGCUUGACAUGCGCGGUGGAAUCCCAGAGAUGGGGUGUCAUUUAGUUGGUCGCGUACAGGUGGUGCAUGGUUGUCGUCAGCUCGUGUCGCGAGAUGUUGGGUUAAGUCCCGCAACGAGCGCAACCCUCGUUCCAUGUUGCCAGCACGUUAUGGAGGGGACUCAUGGGAGA